AACACAGUACAGGUAAUGUGUAGCCUAACUGACUAUAGGCUGACUGUCACGGUUUUCGUCGGUUAUGGAGGACCAAAACGCAGCAGGAAGUGCGUCACGAGGCUGGGACCAGCUUGCACACCGACGAUAGGAUGAGGAAGUUUAAACCACGCUCAUCCUCGCUCUGACAGGCCAGCAAUGAGCGGGAACUAUCUCUGUCAGAGUAUAUAAGGGAGAACAAAGGAUGUGUCACCCUCUUCUCUGUCUGCCCUGCGUGGUGUUACAGUGAGACCGUAUAUACGAACAACAUAUUUACCAUUCAAGUGUUUGCAAUAAUUAAAGUACAAAGAAAACAUGAGUUACUCUUUGCUAAUUAAUUUGUUCUAAUACCAGAUUCGAAUUGACGCGACCUGACAAUUGGUGACCCCGACGUGAUGUGGUAUAGGAACUUCGCUGUCGUGGGACGGUGUGUUUCACAAAAAGUCCGGACAACUAAAAAGAGGACCUGAGCCCUAGGACCAUGCCUCAGGACUACCUGGUAUGAUGACUCCUUGUUGUCCCC
Molecule: non-coding RNA, 541 nt
Organism: Salmo salar (Atlantic salmon)
Lineage: Eukaryota; Metazoa; Chordata; Actinopteri; Salmoniformes; Salmonidae
Source: RefSeq, a predicted model, not a curated record